CGGCGGCCGCGGCGCCGUGUCCGAUGGUGGCCCCAAGUCCAGGGUCCACAGUGGCCGCAGUGUUGGCUCCCAGGCCGUGUCCGAGGCCGUGUCCGAGGCCGGGCCCCAGGCCGGGCUCCACGCCGUUGCCCAGGGCAGCUCCGAGGCCGUGGCCGAUGGUGGCCCCGAGGCCGGGGUCAGUGGUGGCCGCAGGGCCAUGUCCAAGGCUUUGUCCGAGGCUGACCACCAGGCUGUGGUCAGUGGUGGCCGCAGCACCAUGUCCAAGGCUGUGUCCGAGGCUGACCGCCAGGCUGUGGUCAGUGGUGGCCGCAGGGCCGUGUCCAAGGCUUUGUCCGAGGCUGACCGCCAGGCUGUGGUCAGUAGUGGCCGUAGGGCCGUGUCCGAGGCCAGGCCCCAGGCCGGGCUCCACGCCACUGCCCAGGGCAGCUCCAAGGCCGUGGCCGAUGGUGGCCCCAAGGCCGGGGUCAGCAGUGGCCGCAGGGCUGUGUCCGAGGCUGUGUCCGAGGCCGUGUCCGAGGCUGACCGCCAGGCUGUGGUCAGCGGUGGCCGCAGGGCCAUGUCCGAGGCUGACCGCCAGGCUGUGGUCAGUGGUGGCCGCAGGGCCGUGUCCCACGCUGACCGCCAGGCCGACAGCUCCGACGUCGUCGCCCAGGCCGGGCCCCAGGCCGAGGUCCAGGCCGAGGUCGCCGCCGGGGAAGUCGAGGCCGGGCCCGAACGGCUCCGGGGGUCCCGGGGGGGCUUCGGCCGCCAGCUGCUGCCGCAGGCACCAGGCCUCGGCCUCGCUGCGGGGGGACGCGGCGGUCAGCGGCGCUGCGGCCAGCGGCCGGCCCCGAGGGUGGCUGAGACCCGCUGACCGCUGAGUGCUGACCACUGGAUGCUGACCACUGACUGCUGAGUGCUGACCACUGGAUGCUGACCACUGACCACUGAGCACUGACCACUGACCACUGAGCACUGAGCACUGACCACCCACCUCUGAGUGCUGAGCACUGAUUGAUGACCACUGACCACUGACCACUGAGAACUGACCACUGACCAC
RNAcentral lists this long non-coding RNA (1039 nucleotides) under Lonchura striata (white-rumped munia). RNAcentral describes it as "domestica (Bengalese finch) lncRNA (ENSLSDG00000001842.1)". The record is from RNAcentral. Lineage: Eukaryota; Metazoa; Chordata; Aves; Passeriformes; Estrildidae.